UACGUAGGGUGCAAGCGUUAAUCGGAAUUACUGGGCGUAAAGCGUGCGCAGGCGGCUUUGCAAGACAGAUGUGAAAUCCCCGGGCUUAACCUGGGAACUGCAUUUGUGACUGCAUGGCUGGAGUGCGGCAGAGGGGAUGGAAUUCCGGCGUGUAGCAGUGAAAUGCGUAGAUAUCAGGAGGAAUACCGAUGGCGAAGGCAGGUCUCUGGGCUGACACUGACGCUCAUGC
RNAcentral lists this ribosomal RNA (229 nucleotides) under uncultured bacterium. Its description in RNAcentral is "partial 16S ribosomal RNA". It matches the Rfam family "Bacterial small subunit ribosomal RNA", at positions 524 to 752 of the family's 1533-position model. The record is from RNAcentral.